Molecule: long non-coding RNA, 3200 nt
Organism: Hirundo rustica (Barn swallow)
Lineage: Eukaryota; Metazoa; Chordata; Aves; Passeriformes; Hirundinidae
Exons: 4
Source: RefSeq, a predicted model, not a curated record
GAAAAGACAAUUCCUCUUGGCUGACCUAAGCAGAAGUAUUGGCUUGGGUCUCUGAAAGGAGUUCUUUCUUACUGCUGAUGCAGCUUUAUAGCCUGCAGCAAGAAGACAUAGUCAAGAGGCGGUAAAGUAUAGUGUCAUCUGAACCAGAAGUUCUCCAUGUUUUUAUAACCUCCCUUGAGAAUGAUGUCCAUGGUCUAUGUCUGACUGGAUUCCCAGGAGACAACACAAGCUCUCUGUACAGCUGCUUCAGGAAUGGAACAGACCACUUGUGCUGAAAGUCUUCUCCUCCUGCUGCCUUUGCUUCCCCAGCAUGAUGGAUGGCACAUUGCUAUCCUGGAGCAAAGGGCCCUGCGUUCUUCUUCUGUGUGAUUUGAGGUGGUGAAAGUGCUUUGUUAUCAGAUUACCAAAAUACCCCAAGCCAGCAAACCCAGGGGUCUAAACUAGCUCAAAGGGAACUUAACAAACGAGCUCCUGUGGAGAGCUGCUCUUCCUCCAAAGGAUUUAUGUCUUUCUCUACAGAUCACAAAAAUAUAUAAUGGAUCAAGAAGAUAGCCACAACUAUAAGGAGAACAGGGAACUGCUUUGGGUGCUUGCUUCUGCCACUAAAACUCUCCCUGAACACUGCCCCCAAGCAAUGGCUCUUCCUAAGUUUGAGGAAGGAGGGACUAGUUGUCUCCAUGGAAGCUUUCUUGUUCUCUAGCUCUGCAAGUCCUCCAAAUCCAGGAGCCUGGGCCAAACAGAGAAUAGGCUGAAGAAAGAUGCCUCCUAUCUCAGCUUCACAGUUACUUCUUCAAGUCUUGGCAAUGUGAGCCAAAAGUUCCCUGACACGCAAGCAGGAAGGGCUUAGGAGACAUAAAUGGCAGAUUGCUCCAGCCAAAACACAAAAUACUGCUUGAACAUUGGUGGAAGAAUUGUAUCUCACAUGUGACAGGUGUCCUGAAUGUGAGUUAAGAAAGACUUGGAACUUGGCCUUUGAGUGUCUCCACUUAAGAGCUGCCAAAGCUCACCUGACAGGACACUUACAAUGACACAACCAAUUCAGAACCACAGAAUCAUUUAGGUUGGAAAGGACCUUUAAGAUCAUCAACUACAACCAUAAACCUAACGUUGCCAAAACUACCAAUGGAAAUUGAUUCAAUUUCAAUUAGUUAUGGUUAUUUUUCUGCUUCUAUUUUGAAACCACUUAGAGCUAUCCACUGCAGCUGAUGCCAGAUCAUAGUGGAACUACAAGCUCAAACAAAUUACCUUUAUCUAUACAAAGGAGUACUGAUGCUUUAAGUUGGAGUCUGUCUGCAGUGAGUAACUCAGUGUGCAGUAGCCAGAGUGUGAAUUUGCAACUCACAAACUCAUCUGCACAAGGCUUUUGCAUAGUCACUGGGAAAGCAGAGUAAGUUACUGUAAUAUAUAUUGUAUACUAAGAACACCCAUAAAGAAUAUAGUUCAAAGUAGCUAAGGAACUAUAUAUUCACAUCCUGACUAAGUAUGCACUUAUUUGUUCCAUGCAUUAAUGUAAAACCUAAAUUAGAAACCAUAUGAGUUGGUAAACCCCAUGUUUGCUUUUGUGCUACAGCAAAAACAAAACCAGAAGCACUAAAAGGUUAAGGUAGGAACAGGAGAGGAGGGACUUUACUCCAGUAAUCCACAUGAGCACCAGCACUCAGUUCUUCUCCCACGCAGCUUCUCCCUCUGCUCUCCCCUGCACCAAAGCUCAGUGUCCUGCCUCAUGGCUCAGGUGUCCAGCCCUGUUCCCUGGUUUGGUCACUCACUUCCCUCCUUCUUCAGGGCUCACUGCAGCCCAGGGAUGGCCCCAGCCUGGCCCAGCAGAGCAGCCUGUUUCCCGCAGGCCUCCUGACUUUCCACUGAACUGCCCUAUGAUUAUCACAGUCAAACAAAUAAAUUUAAUGUAAUUUCCAGUUUAGAGAGAUUAAUUAUCUUUGAUUUACUUCUUGUCAAAAGGUUUUUCCUCCUGAUAUAACUGAUGUGAAAUUCCAGGAAAUGAUCAGUUAAACCCAAGGAGAGUCUGAGUGGAGGCUUGUGCUGGCUGGACACACAGAUAGAGUGUCCAGCCAGGACAGCCCCAGAAUACACUGCCAUGGUAGAGCAUGCUGCUUGAAGUCUUCAAAAUACUAUUUCCUGCCAUAUUCUAACCCAUAAUAUGAAACUUUCCCCUGUCUCCCCAAGCCACAGCCAUGGGAUCUCACUGGUUGCUGGCCCUGUGGGAGAAGGGUGAGGUCGGUGCCCCACGCUGAGUCACAGAACCCCACGGAGGGGCUACACAUCACUUGGCCUCCAGCCUGGGAUAUGUGCCCCUCCAGAUGCCAGUGCCAGGCUGAGUCCUGAUGCAGGAAGUGUGGCCCUUAUGGCAUCUGCUCUGCUUCCCAGGCUUAAAAGCAGGAAUGAAAGGAGAAUAAAAGCCCCUCUCCAAAGCAGGCUCUUUCUGACACCCCAUGUCUGUAUAAUCUCAGUCUCUUGGCUGGGGCCUGUGGAGCAGUGCCAGCAGGAAUGCCAACACAGGGUUACUCUUCCUCACCAUCUCCAGCAAUACUGCUCACCAGAGAGGUGUUUCUUUCACGUGCGUAAGAUAAUUUCCAAAACAAAGGAUUUAAAUACACAUUACUAAUCUCAUUUGGAUUCUGUCCAGAAGAACUAAACAAAAGCCUUUUAACUAAUAAGAUAACAAUAGCAAAAUCAUACUAUUGUAUUUCAGAAAUAUUUAUUCAAAACUGUAAGAAAUAACUGCUCGAAAUAUUCAGGCACGUACCAGAAAUUCUGUCAUUUGGGUACAUAUUUUAUGGGGUUUUUUUGAGACUAACCCUUUGAUUAUAGGUUUUUCUGCUCAGUUUUUCAUGAGUCUGGCUGGUUUUUUCCCCCAUCCCUUGUCCGUCUGUGGGUAAUCACAUUCUCUUUGCAGCUUCCUCCUCGCUCUACUUGGAUGUCCUCUUCUGGGGUCACAAUCUGCCUUGCUUGGAUGUUUGCUCAGAGAAGCUUUUCUUGCUAUGGGCCCUCUGAACUGAUGGCCCUCUCUGCUCCCCUCCAACUCUGCCCCAGGAGCUUUGGAAAACUGAAUUAAUGAGUAUGGACAACAUCAUUUUGAGAGAUGCAAGGCAGUUUUCGUAAGAUGGAAAGACAGACUUUUACAGCAUCAAAGCUUCUACAGGAGUAAAGACACCCCUUGGCCUAAAACCAGGGCUUUUUUACAA